This is a non-coding RNA of Lutra lutra (Eurasian river otter), 1439 nucleotides long. The record is from the annotation of a RefSeq genome assembly. Lineage: Eukaryota; Metazoa; Chordata; Mammalia; Carnivora; Mustelidae.
AUGCUGGGUCCCCUUGCCAUGCUGUGUGCUGUCCUGUUUCCCGGCAGCAGAACAGGGCUCAAGCAGGAUCAACCUGCUUUGUUGGUGGUACACUUGGGCAGUUCACCUUCCCUGCUUUGCCAAGUGGACACCUCAGUCAGCUACAUCUACUGGUACCACCACCAGGAGGGUACGGCGUCCAAGAGGCUUCUCUACCUAGACAUGUCCAGGUCCUAUGUGCAAUGGGAUUUUGUCCUGAAAGUGGACAAAGUUGAUGCCAAGAAGGGCAGGGAUAGCUACAGCUGUACUCUGCCGGUGCUGAGGCUAGAGAGGAGUAGAGAAGAGUGAUGGCGUGUGUACUACUGUGCUGCCUGGGAAUACCACAGCCCUGGUCCACCUCGUAAUGGUCAGGGCACAAGCAGCAACGUGCUUGGUCCUGGCACAAUUCUCAGGGUUACAGAUAAAAGUCCUGAUGAAGAUAUUUCUCCCAAGCCCACAAUUUUUCUUCCUUCAAUUACUGAAAUAAAAUUCCAUAGGGCUGGAACAUAUCUUUGUUUUCUUGAGGAUUUUCCCCCUAAUGUUAUCAAGAUAGACUGGGGAGAAAAGGAUGACAAAACAAUUCUGAAAUCCCAGCAGGGAGACACUGUGAAGACUAAUGACACACACAUGAAAUUCAGCUGGCUGACUGUGACUGGAGCAUCAAUGGAUGAAGAACACAAAUGUAUCAUCAACCAUGAGAGUGAUAGAAGAAAAAUUGAUCAAGGGAUUCUUUUUCCUUCUAUAUACAAAGAUUUGAUGGCAGUGAUGGAAUCUGAAGUGGACUCCCAGAGGCAUUUAGAGACAAAGCAAAACACAGAGGUGGUAACUGUGAGCCCUUUGAUUUCAGGAUCUUUCUUACUUGUUCCAAGGGCAGUGGAGCUUGCUGCUAUUAACUCCACAAAAGCGUCUCUGAAUGAUGAAAAUGAGCAGCUGCAGCUCAUGAACACAUCUGCCUACUACAUGUACCUCCUCCUCUUCCUGAAGAGCCUGGUCUACUCCACCAUAAUGGUCAUCUUUCUACUUGGGAGACCAGCAAUCUAUGCCAAUGAGAAGAGUUCCUAACACAAUGCUUCCCAUUGGCUAUUGUCCUUAAAAGUGUCUGCUGAGGAUCUAGUGGGACUUCUUUUGGAGACUGGGUAUUUCAGUUCACCUGUGUCUUUUUCUACUGUGUCAUUGUUGCAUUACCGGUUUACAAACCACUGGGCAUACAGAAGCUUUCAAUCUGCAUCAAGAACAAAUUCCGCCAUGACUCAGAAUUUGGACCAGAGGGCAUCCACAGGGGCUUCAACACUGCUCUCUCUCCUUAAUGUCCACCAGUUCCUCAGCCACCCUGUUCCCAUGCCUCUGAGUACAGCCAACAUGCAUCUUCUUGUCAUGUUCCCCAGGGGCCCUUUAACCACAUGAUUGCCUGUAAGUCUUUU